UCGCCUGUUUUUCAAAAACAUCGCCUCUUGCUAAUCCGUAAGUAUAAGAGGUCCCGCCUGCCCUGUGACUAUAUGUUCAACGGCCGCGGUAUUUUGACCGUGCGAAGGUAGCGCAAUCACUUGUCUUUUAAAUGGGGACCUGUAUGAAUGGCAUAACGAGGGCUUGACUGUCUCCUCUUUCAAGUCAAUGAAAUUGAUCUCCCCGUGCAGAAGCGGGGAUAGACACAUAAGACGAGAAGACCCUAUGGAGCUUUAGACUCUAAAGCAGAUCAGCAUUAAUACCCUGAACAUAGGGCACGAAUAUACUGAACCCUGCCCUAAUGUCUUAGGUUGGGGCGACCGCGGAGAAAUAAAAAACCCCCGCAAGGACCGAAUGUACUACAUUCACAACCAAGAGCGACAGCUCUAAUUAACAGAUAUUUCUGACCAAUAAGAUCCGGCAACGCCGAUUAAUGAACCAAGUUACCCUAGGGAUAACAGCGCAAUCUCCUCUUAGAGCCCGUAUCAACGAGGAGGUUUACGACCUCGAUGUUGGAUCAGGACAUCCUAAUGGUGCAGCCGCUAUUAAGGGUUCGUUUGUUCAACGAUUAAAGUCCUACGUGAUCUGA
This 608-nucleotide ribosomal RNA is filed under the name Epinephelus chlorostigma (brownspotted grouper). Its description in RNAcentral is "partial large subunit ribosomal RNA". It matches the Rfam family "Bacterial large subunit ribosomal RNA", at positions 1796 to 2608 of the family's 2925-position model. The record is from RNAcentral. Lineage: Eukaryota; Metazoa; Chordata; Actinopteri; Perciformes; Serranidae.